Molecule: long non-coding RNA, 849 nt
Organism: Panicum virgatum (switchgrass)
Lineage: Eukaryota; Viridiplantae; Streptophyta; Magnoliopsida; Poales; Poaceae
Exons: 2
Source: RefSeq, a predicted model, not a curated record
UUCAGAGAGACAUAAAAAUGGCUACGUACUGGAUGGACUUGGGUCAGAGCAGUUACUAACUCUUGAAUAUUAUUAAUGAUGUAAUAAGCCCAGUACCACCCUGGCCGGGGCUCCCCAAACACUACACCGCAGCACAAAAAUUACCGUGAGACAUCAGUCAGAAAUAAAUUGAAUAUACUUAUAAAUAAUCCAUGUCGGCAAGUGCAUCACCGCCCCAACCUCCUUCCCCAAUCUUCCCACCACUUUACAGCAUGCCUCCAGAGUGCUGCGACGCUAGCCACCGCGCAAGGCCGGUGAUCUAUCCAUACCAUGUUGGAUGCUCUAUCAAGCAACUUGGUGCUGUGGUGUUGUGUAUAUAUUCCAUCAGCAAAUGAACUCCACGGAAAAUUAGAGACAGCCAACAUAUCUCAAGGCAUAAAAGCAGGAUGAAGGCAUAAAAGCAGGAUGAAGCAGCAGGAUGAAGCAACUUUACCGACUAACAGAACGAAGUAGUGUUACCUCGGUUGGUCAACGACGACAUGUUGCCUUGCUUUCACUGCGUGAGCUCGUGUGGGGAAGGGCAGGCAGUGAUGGCAAUAUUUAAUUGUAGCGCUGAGGCCUGCUGGAAACGUUUUGGAUGGGAAGGAAUAGAUGCUCGCCACUUUUUUGAAGGUCAGUCCAACCAGGGUUUCAAGCAUGCAUUCUGGAGCAUACAAAAUUUUCCGGUAUUUCAGGCUGGGACACAAGUGCGAGUGGGAACGUUUCUUUUUAAUUUCAUGUUUGUUUCUUUCUAUUGGUUGAUUUUGUAUUAGAUCUCUAUGCAAAGCAAGGUAAUAAAUAGCAUAUAGCGGCUGGUAGCUGAUUGAUGUC